GACGAACGCUGGCGGCGUGCUUAACACAUGCAAGUCGAACGGAAAGGCCCUGCUUUUGUGGGGUGCUCGAGUGGCGAACGGGUGAGUAACACGUGAGUAACCUGCCCUUGACUUUGGGAUAACUUCAGGAAACUGGGGCUAAUACCGGAUAGGAGCUCCGGCUGCAUGGUGGGGGUUGGAAAGUUUCGGCGGUGGGGGAUGGACUCGCGGCUUAUCAGCUUGUUGGUGGGGUAGGGGCUUACCAAGGCUUUGACGGGUGGCCGGCCUGGGAGGGUGACCGGCCACAUUGGGACUGAGAUACGGCCCAGACUCCUACGGGAGGCAGCAGUGGGGAAUAUUGCACAAUGGGCGGAAGCCUGAUGCAGCAACGCCGCGUGCGGGAUGACGGCCUUCGGGUUGUAAACCGCUUUCGCCUGUGACGAAGCGUGAGUGACGGUAAUGGGUAAAGAAGCACCGGCUAACUACGUG
This 468-nucleotide ribosomal RNA is filed under the name uncultured bacterium. RNAcentral describes it as "partial 16S ribosomal RNA". It matches the Rfam family "Bacterial small subunit ribosomal RNA", at positions 28 to 507 of the family's 1533-position model. The record is from RNAcentral.